CAUAGUGGAAGUUGGAAGUAAAUCUUCAUCUUGCGAAGUUAUCGUAACAUAGUUAUUUGAUAUUGAUUGCAGCUAAAAUGCGAUGAUUUAUCCUUUUUGUGAUGCGAUUUCAGUAGGUGAAAUAGCCCUAAUGUAUGCAACGUGUAAGCAUGGAAACGUGAUGGACAAUGAACAUGAUGAAGUUUAUGUCAAAUCCAGAUGAAAAUUUAUUGCGUGUCCUGUGAAUAUUUUAGCGAAAAUAUUAUGCUUUAGCCAAAGUGGAAUUUUAAGUCGUAAUCCAAGGAACCAAUAGAUCAUCAGUACAGUCACUACAACCACUCAGAGGGCCCAUGACAGAGUAAACAAAGCAGAAAUUCCUCCAGGAUUAAAGUAUGCUGGUCUUCUCUUUGGACCUAAAUCCAGCUGAUGAAAUUCUAUCUGUUAAAAUAGUGAAAAUUCAAGCCAGGAACUUCUAUUAAUCAGACAGUGGCAUUAAAACCGUUGUGAUGAUGUGCGCCAAAUCCAUUGAUGACAUACAUAUAUACAUUUUAAAGUUAUCUCCCACUUAGAUCAAAAAUGAAAUGGACAGAAUUUAAAGUUUAAAGUGGAUUUCAAGUGAUUUGUGUAUUGUACAUAAUUAGAUAUGAGAUGUAUGUAAAUAGAAAUGCAUCCCUGCUCUUUUGUACAAUCUUACAACUGUUCAUGAUGAUUGUCCAUAUAUAAAUUGAUUUUAUAGAAUAAAUGAAAACAUAUAUUUUACAA
Saccostrea cuccullata (small rock oyster) is the source of this 741-nucleotide long non-coding RNA. RefSeq lists it as uncharacterized. The transcript is spliced from 2 exons. The record is from RefSeq and is a predicted model, not a curated record. Lineage: Eukaryota; Metazoa; Mollusca; Bivalvia; Ostreida; Ostreidae.